UGUUUGAGUGCACCUGGGUGCUACAGGUGGUGGUGCCUGUAGCAGCAUUUUGGUGUAGGCCAGGACAGC
Gallus gallus (chicken) is the source of this 69-nucleotide microRNA precursor. Lineage: Eukaryota; Metazoa; Chordata; Aves; Galliformes; Phasianidae. The record is from Ensembl.